CCCUUUCUUUAGGUUCGCUAUAACCAGAUCUAAAAGGCCCUCUCCCACCCUGAGAAAGUCUGGGUUCAUAGGAGACAGACCUAAAAAUGUGUGAAACCGAUAAAAAUCCUGAUUGGCAGUAAGAUAUCUUGGAUAAUAUAACCGUUUAAACUUUCUAUCUUUUGGUCUUUCACCUAAUUGUAAUACUUUUGGAGCAUGAUCUGAUAUUAAAAUUUAUUUGAUUUUAA
This is a long non-coding RNA of Bombina bombina (fire-bellied toad), 227 nucleotides long. RefSeq lists it as uncharacterized. NCBI's taxonomy places the organism in Eukaryota, Metazoa, Chordata, Amphibia, Anura, Bombinatoridae. The transcript is spliced from 2 exons. The record is from RefSeq and is a predicted model, not a curated record.